RNAcentral lists this unclassified non-coding RNA (328 nucleotides) under soil metagenome. RNAcentral describes it as "partial contains 5.8S ribosomal RNA, internal transcribed spacer 2, and large subunit ribosomal RNA". The stretch from base 1 to 120 matches the Rfam family "5.8S ribosomal RNA", at positions 35 to 154 of the family's 154-position model. The record is from RNAcentral.
GAUGAAGAACGUAGCGAAAUGCGAUAAGUAAUGUGAAUUGCAGAAUUCAGUGAAUCAUCGAAUCUUUGAACGCACAUUGCGCCCGCUAGUAUUCUGGCGGGCAUGCCUGUUCGAGCGUCAUUAUAACCCCUCAAGCUCAGCUUGGUGUUGGGGCCUGCUGCACUGGCAGCCCUUAAAAUCAGUGGCGGCGCCAUCUGGCUCUAAGCGUAGUAAUUCUUCUCGCUAUGGAGUCCUGGUGGAUGCUUGCCAUCAACCCCCAAUUUUUCUAUGGUUGACCUCGGAUCAGGUAGGGAUACCCGCUGAACUUAAGCAUAUCAAUAAGCGGAGG